RNAcentral lists this unclassified non-coding RNA (224 nucleotides) under uncultured Cryptococcus. RNAcentral describes it as "sequence contains ITS2". Lineage: Eukaryota; Fungi; Basidiomycota; Tremellomycetes. The record is from RNAcentral.
AAACCUCAACUCCAAGUUUGGUUAAUCCAAGCUUGGAUGUUGGAUGUGGGCGUUUGUCAAUGAUGAAUUGACUCGCCUUAAAAAUGUGAGCUGGAUUAGUCUUUGCACUGGUUCCCCUAGGCGUAAUAAGUAUUUCGCUUAGGACACAAGUUCGCUUGUGGCCAGGACUUGGACAAUAGUCUGCUUUCUAUACCCCAUACGCACUUGUGUGUAUAAUUCUUGAC